UCCAGACUCCUACGGGAGGCAGCAGUGAGGAAUAUUGGUCAAUGGGCGCGAGCCUGAACCAGCCAAGUCGCGUGAGGGAUGACGGCCCUACGGGUUGUAAACCUCUUUUGUCGGGGAGCAAAUUCCGCCACGUGUGGCGGAGUCGAGAGUACCCGAAGAAAAAGCAUCGGCUAACUCCGUGCCAGCAGCCGCGGUAAUACGGAGGAUGCGAGCGUUAUCCGGAUUUAUUGGGUUUAAAGGGUGCGUAGGCGGAGUGUCAAGUCAGCGGUAAAAUUGCGGGGCUCAACCCCGUCGUGCCGUUGAAACUGACACCCUUGAGUGAGUGAGAAGUAAGCGGAAUGCGUGGUGUAGCGGUGAAAUGCAUAGAUAUCACGCAGAACGCCGAUUGCGAAGGCAGCAUACCGGCGCCCAACUGACGCUGAAGCACGAAAGCGUGGGUAUCGAACAGGAUUAGAUACCCGGGUA
RNAcentral lists this ribosomal RNA (465 nucleotides) under uncultured bacterium. RNAcentral describes it as "bacterial SSU rRNA". It matches the Rfam family "Bacterial small subunit ribosomal RNA", at positions 330 to 792 of the family's 1533-position model. The record is from RNAcentral.